RNAcentral lists this ribosomal RNA (253 nucleotides) under uncultured bacterium. RNAcentral describes it as "partial 16S ribosomal RNA". It matches the Rfam family "Bacterial small subunit ribosomal RNA", at positions 524 to 776 of the family's 1533-position model. The record is from RNAcentral.
UACGUAGGGGGCAAGCGUUGUCCGGAAUCAUUGGGCGUAAAGAGCGCGUAGGCGGCCCUGUAAGUCCGCUGUGAAAGUCGAGGGCUCAACCCUUGAAUGCCGGUGGAUACUGCAGGGCUAGAGUCCGGAAGAGGCGAGUGGAAUUCCUGGUGUAGCGGUGAAAUGCGCAGAUAUCAGGAGGAACACCGAUGGCGAAGGCAGCUCGCUGGGACGGCACUGACGCUGAGGCGCGAAAGCCAGGGGAGCAAACGGG